CCGCCACCCUCCAGCGCUACCGUCCGCUGCCACCGCCCACCGCCCACCGCUACCGUCUGCUUGGAGCGCCAUCACCUGGAUCUGCGUCGCCGCUCCCUCCGUCCUCCUUCACCGCCGCCGCUCCCUCCAGCGCCCGCUCGCCCGCCAGCCAACGCCGACGCCGUUGGGCCCGUUGCCAAGAGUCCUCCACCGCCGUUGCCCUCCAGCGCCCGCUCACCAGAGCCGACGCCGUCCUCCUCCCACUGUCCACCCUCCCUCCUGGUCACCAACACCGUCGUGUUCUUCUGCGUCGACUCCGGUCACCAACACAAGAUUAAUUGGGGAGCCGCUCUUUGAUCAUUUGAUAUGUGUGUGUUUUGAAAUGGGG
RNAcentral lists this long non-coding RNA (367 nucleotides) under Oryza sativa Indica Group (long-grained rice). RNAcentral describes it as "lncRNA OsLima_10g0003200". Lineage: Eukaryota; Viridiplantae; Streptophyta; Magnoliopsida; Poales; Poaceae. The record is from RNAcentral.